This 2605-nucleotide long non-coding RNA is filed under the name Felis catus (domestic cat). RNAcentral's name for it is "lncRNA (ENSFCAG00000050632.1)". The record is from RNAcentral. Lineage: Eukaryota; Metazoa; Chordata; Mammalia; Carnivora; Felidae.
AAGGUAAGGCGCUGGCCUGGACCCUCUCUUCCCAGCCCACCAAGGGGAUCCCCACACCUAGGGAAAUGCUCUAAAUCAGCUCGAAACAGUGACCCAAGCCAAUGGCCCGCGAGAGACCGCCCCAUAUCUGGCCCAGCGUCCGGGAGGGCGAGGGCGCGCGGGGAGAGGGCGGGGGCGGGUUCCGCUAGACGCGGCGGGCUCCAGGCCGGGCUUCCCAGCUGGGGUGUCGAUCGGAGCAGGGAGGCUGGGACAGGUGUGAGCGGGCUCGGCGAAAAGGUGUCCGGCUUCGGGAAGCCAGCGAGCCAGACCUUGGGGCACCAGCCGGCAGGACGCGCUUCUUCGAGAGCUUGCGGCCCCCAAGGCAGCCGGGGAGAAGAUCUCGGGGAGUCCCGAAACCACCCACCCGCAGUAGUUGAGAGCGGCUCUGCAGUCCGACCAUUUCCCCUUGAAAAGAACACACGGCGUUUGGAGGCCGGUGGAGUUGCCCAAGACAAGAACCCCCAGCCCAAGUUCUCUGGCCUUGGCUGGCUAGUGGGUGCAUCAGCUCACACAGUGACUCACUUGAACUCAGCCUCCUCCGCUCCCGACCCUCAGCCACGUUCAAAUACUCUGUCCCAAGUGUUCUAGGACACGCGCCACUCAGAAGCAGGUCAAAGAUGGAAAAGGCCCAGCUUGUCUUUCCCAACCCUGGCGGUUCUACUUUGGCAUGGAAUCUGGGGCCUGAAGGUGGGCAAGGCCCCCCAGGCUUUCAGACUGGACUGUGCUGGGAGAAGGGGGCUCACCCAGCAGAUUGUGCUGUUAGGAAUUCUGGGAGCCGGUAGGGCUUUUUUUCUGGUCUCUAAUGGGCUCUUAGAACAUGGCAGCUUCCUUGGCUUAACGAAGUAAGAUGAACUUGCCCCAAGCUCUGGUUUAGCUCUCUCCUCUGCUGCUGUGCUGCAGGAUCCUUCUUGUUCUGUCUCUAGGCUUCAAGUUAUUUUUUGUCCCAGUCCUUCUGUGCUCUGCCUCUGCUGAGUGGCCUCCAGCCCCCCCCUGGGGUUUUACCUACAGGGGCUCUGGAUAGGAAGGACCCCGAGUUUUCUACCUGAGUGUGAGUGAAGAUGACUUUCCACCCUCCAGACAAAACUAGAGAGUUCUGUGCCCAAACUUUGUGUAUGGAAGGAGGUGAAGGCAGAGAAAGAGGAGGCCUUUUUGUUUCCAAAUGCACUAGUGAACAGAAGAAAUACCCUUUUCUCCAAAAUAGCUCAUGUUUUCAAGGAACUGUGAAAGUGGCAGGAUAAGGGACUGUCCUCUUCAAAUUCUUUGGGUCUGUGACCUAGAAGCCUUGAGAAGAGGCCAUAAGCAGGGAAACAAUGCAGAGGCAGGGUUUGGCAGAGGUGGCCCACUUGGGAGCAAGGCCUUGCCUUUCAUAGAUGGCCUUAGAUCAUGGUUAUAAAUGGUGUCACCGUUUUAUGAAUAAUCAGUUGCCAGUCCCUAAAUCAUGUUUUCAUGGUGCCAUGGGCUGCUGUGUCGCAAGGGUGAGAUCACCCUGAACGCUCCCAGAGGAAGAGAGUGUUAUGAGCCCUAAAACUUUCAGCUGCACUCUGCCAGCCCCUGUCUUCUUAAGCCCCACCUUUAGUCCCUUGUCUGCCUUCCUGUUCUCUCUACAGCAAAGCUGGGUCUUCUGGGGACUACGGUGGUAUUAGAACCCACACCAGUUCCCCAUCUCCCUGUCCCCAGACAGAGCUUUGACUGGGAAAAAAACAAAAACAAAAACAAAAACAAAAAGCAGAACAAGAAAACUGUUUGCUGUGUGUGGAUGGAUGAAGGCAAUAACCACUUUUCUCAAAAGCUGGAGCAGCUCCGUUCUCUGUCACCACGAACAAUCUUUCUUGGGUCAGAAGCCCCAGGACUCCAGCUGUGGGGUAAUUCCUAACCUGUUCUCCCUCAUAGAGACUCCUUUUACUAAGAAGUGAGGGUUUAGAGGAUUGGAGUACAGUCUCCAUCAGGAUUCCAUUUGAUCAUUAAAUUUACACAGAUCUGGGAACGGACGCCAGGCCUGAAAGGGAAAUGGAGAAGGGGAAUUCGUGAGAACCAAAGGAAGAACCGAGUGACUCUGUUUGACAAGGAAUUUCCAUUACCUCAGUGCUUUCCUCCAUAUGUCUCAUCCUUUAACUUCAUUUCCCCUCUUACGUGAAGAAACAGAACUCUCAGUUCAGGUGACUGUUUUGGCCAAAUGUUCAGAUACAUAAUCUGGCUGAGUGUUGUUAAAAAUCUGACCACUGAAUACAUAAUGCGCUCCUCUGCCUCACCUAAUUUUGACAUAAAAUAUAAGCAUUUAUUUCCAUCAAAUUCUUGUUCACCUUCAACAGGUUGGUUUUAGUUUCUGUAUUUCUCAAAUUUCCUUACAAUAACAGUACAUGAACCAGAUAUGUUCAGCUUCUAUGAGACAGGAUUAUUCCCACUACAAUUCUCCAGGUACUUCUGGUUAAAACUGCCUUUGCUUUUCACCUGAAUGAGACACAUACUUGAGAUGGAAGUGAGUUUCUUUGUUUUAAACUUGAAUUAUUUAAAUGCCUGCUCUUUUCCCUCCUCCUGCCUAUUUGGAAUAAACCUGGUCAGAUUAACA